GUGAGCCGCUGUGCCCAGGCCAAUCCCAGAGAUUUUGAUGAUUUCUCGAUACGAGUUUCACGAAGACUUGAAAAGAAUGUGUCCUCUGUUGUUGGAUGGAGUGUCCUUGAAAUGUUCAUUAGCCUUCUAGCUCCAUUCAGAAGAGCCUCCGAAGUAGAGACCAGAAAUCCUUCUAGUGGGCUGUGCUUUGAGCAGUACUGCUUGUUGACUGCUUUACUUGGAAGGAGAGAUCGACUGAGGUAAGGCUCUUACUAAUGCACGUGCUUUGCUAAUGGUUUGGCCAGAUGAUCAAAAAUGUGGAAGGGGUAAGAUUCAAGGAUUGGUGACAAGGAAGUUUAGAAUAACAGAGAUGUGGAUGGGCCUCCUAGAAUGACCAAAGAAUAUGAGAAUAUUUAUGUUUCAUGUGAACAUUCAUCAAGCUCCUAUUGGUAGUCAGGUAGACAGGUAGACAAGGUGGUCUACUUUGAGGAUGCUGAUUAAUCUCUUCCUCCAGUGACGCAGGGUUUGCUCAGUGGGCUCAUGGACAGAGUGGCCCUGAUGGCUCAGUGGAGGGCUUGGUAUAGGCUUAGCCACAUGGACUCACCAAGACUAACCUGGUUACAGCCGUUGUUGAAUGCCCAACAUUCUACAGCAGAAACCAACCCUGAGCUCCUGACUUGGUGCCAUACCGUGGGGGGACCAACCUGCUGCUUCAGGCCCGGGAAAGAAGUGGACAAGACUCUGCUCUCUUCAUGGAACCGAGUAUUCUAAGGACACAGCCAAGUCAGGAGACUACACCCCUAGUAUAAUAAGUCCUGUGGCUGUACUGAGAAGAGGUCCUGACUCAGAACUGGAGGACAUCAUGGAAGGCUUCCUGGAGGAAGUGCCAUCUAGGCUGAAACCUAAAGGAUGAGUAGAACUAACCAGAUGAAAAGCACUGGAUUUGACUCAUCCCUGCAUCCCCCGAGCACCUCGUGGGUGCCGUAAAGGCAGCUGGGUUGAUGAUGACUGAGUGAAGGAGCGCCUGAGUGGAUGAGCCACUGAGUGAAUGAACUGGAGUUCAUCUUCCACGUGGUCCUCAGCAUCCACUCUAGAAGCCAAAGCCAAGGACACAGCAACCCACCGAGUGCCUUGUCCUCACUCUCUCCAACUGGGGAGUGCCCCUGCGGUGUCAUCUCUCUUUACAGAAGAGAUGCCAUGAGCUACUUUCCUUUCCCCACCUCACCUAACUUCUCUGCUGUAGCCUAACAGUCCAGGACCUGGGGAUUCAGGUGAGACACAGAUUAAGUCCCCAUAACUGACAUUUUCUUCUGAGAAGAAAGCAUUCACAUUCAAGGACUUGAGCAGCUCUGAGCCCCAUGGCAGCUGAGAUGCCACAGUGCGUCAAGUACAGGCACAUGGCAUCUGGGAGGCAGAGCUACAUCCUCUGGGUUGGAUGAUUUCUGCCUUUCCCCAGGGGUUCACAGCUUGCAAUCAUUCUGUAACUGAGGAGUCUGGUGGAAAUGGGGGUAGCAAAGAGAUCAGAGCAGGCAAAUGGUCCUCUGGGGCUGGGAACACUCCCUCUUUCUACCUUCCAACUGCAGGCACAUGUACGUGUCUUUUCAGCCUGAGGGAUCUAAAGCCUUGGGACUUCUGGAUCUGCAAGUGGUCCCUGUUUUGGUAGCUAUUGACUGACGAGGGGCUCUUCGGUAAGUUCUGGGGUGGCAGUGGAGGUGAUGAUGGGAGGGUGUUACAGGGCUCCACAGGCUCUUACAGGGCUCGGGAGCUUAUUUAAGGGAACACCUUGAUUGUCCAUGUGUCGUGGGCCAGAGAAGAAAGGCAGCACUGUGGAUCUUCUGGGAGGAAAGGAGAGGCGUCGAUUUCUGACUCCAGUUUUCUAUGAUCAGCACAGACUCUGUCCCACCUCCUCCCUACAGAGCUUCUGGAUCCUGGAGGAUGGAGAAUAGGCUAAAUUGCACAGGCCAGCUCCAGUCCAUUGGCAGGGCUGCCUAGAACAUGGCUGUGAUGAUCCCAAAGCUCAAUAGCAGAGAACCCUGUGGGGUGCUAGGAGUGUCUGCCAGGGUGCCGCAGGGAAAGGGGAGCAUGUGUGUAGAUGUAGAAAGCAUCUCUGCCAUCCCCUCCCCUAAAGAAUAUAUAACAUGGCCAUGCAGAAAAACACUUGUGAAAGGAGCUGCUGCCCUCAGGACAGCGUGUCAUUGAAAUGGGGGCUGAGCAACCCGUCAGAAGAGUGGGGAGGAGGGACCAUCCUCCAGCCCCUUCCCAGCUCUCUUCUGGAGCCAUAAGCCACAACACUGUCUAUGAAAAAGCUGAGGCCUAGAGCAGAAGGAGUGCAAAAUCCCAGCUACUGCAGGCCUACGCCCAGUGGUUCUCAAAGUGUUGUCCUCAGUCUAGCAGCAUCAGUGUCACCUGAAAACUGGUUAGACAUCCAGGUUCUCAGUUGUUAUCCAGCUCUAGCAGAUGGGAAACGCUGGGGGCGGGACCAGCCAUCUGUGUUUAACAAGCCCCACAGGUGACUGCUGUAGCCUUGAGUGAGGACCUCGGCCAAAAAGAAGGCUCCUACCGUGGCUGUUUGCUGAUGGUCUUCGCAGAGCCUGCUGUCUUUGAGCUUCCUGAGAGAGGGACACUACCCUCGCUUAGCCUGGCAGUGUUGCCCAGGAGGAGGCAGUGGAGUUAAGAAGCCUGGGUCUGAGCUCCUCAGCUGUGCAGACAACUCCUACUUGUUCUUCAACGCUCAACUUUAAGUUCAGUCACCACCUGCAGAAGUCUUCUCCAAAACCUCCCCACCUGGCUGACUAAGGGGCUGGCUUUAUGCUCUUGCAGUACUCAUGCUUCCUACUGUCACAGUUCUGACCACACCGUGGGAAAACGUCUCUAACUAGAGACCUGUCUUGCCUCUUGUGCCUGUAGUACGGGAUGGGUGCCCAGUGUGUGUUGAUUGUAUGAAUCAAUCUCUGUGACUCCAGAGUUCCUUUCUUCAGGAGAUUAGACAUCACCCCUGCAAUCAACAAUGCAAGCCACUGCUGUUUCCUCCAUCCUGAGCAUGAGGAACCUAUCCAGUUUCUCUCUCAGAUGCCAGGGCCAUGAGGCAAGUCCAGCCUUGGCCUAGAACCAAAGAUGGAAACAAAAAGGGGCCAGACUGUGUUGCCUUCUUGAGCCUGGUCUGACUCCUGAGUGGAAGUCUGAUUCCAGGUACAUGAGAUAAGCACUAAUACCUCCAGUUUGCAGAUUAAGAGACUGAGGUCCUGAAGAGGUUAAAGAACUUGGCUCAAGUCACAUAGCUGGUGAGCAGCAAGAUACAAGAAUCAACCCAAGUCCAGGGGGCUGUGUGCCGUUUACACUUCACAUCUGUGCUGCCAGGGCUGUAGCUAUAAAAGCUUGAAAACCAUUACUCUGAGAAUCUCUCUGUUGGGAAAAUGAGUCCCUUCAACUCUAGUUGUUGCCACUGGGAUGCUAACAGAAAGCAAAGUCUCAGAGGAAAGAUGUGGCAUUCCUGAGUGUCUUCCAUGUACCAGGACUUCUAUUUGCUAGCCACUUUAUGUUCCUCAUCCCAUCCUUCUGUGAGGGACAUACUUUUCAGAUGAGAAACGUAAGCUCCGCGAAGCUAAGGGGCCGGACUGAGGUCCCACAGCGAGAGUGUGGAGGAGCCAGGAUCCGAACCCCAUCGCCAGCCCUUGCCAGUUCCAUGAUUCCGGUGCCAGCGCUCGCCUGACCUCCAGGGCUGUCAUGGUGGGAAGGGACUGGAGGGCAUCUGCUGGGCAAAGGAAAGAGACAAACAUCAUCCCAGAGCCUGUCUUCCCUGGGCAAUACCCGGGCCACUCCAGACAUGGCGUCUUUAGCCCUUCCUUGGUCACUGGCCCCCAGGUGAAGAGAGCAUUUUUCUCUGACUCAAGUUCUUGCCUCUGGAUUUGCCAAGCUCCUAUGACAGUCUUCGCCCUUCUGAAGCUCUCUCAGGCUCCCCUUCCAGAAAUCCCGCAGGUUCCACCGACCUCUCUGAGAGCACAGGCGAGUGGUUGAACGGUGGGCUUUAGAGACGGCGCGGCACCAGAGUCCUGUACUGGCUGUGUGAUCCUGAACCUCCUCACUGAGAUUCUCAUCUGCAAGAUGGAGA
This 4087-nucleotide long non-coding RNA is filed under the name Homo sapiens (human). Its description in RNAcentral is "HSALNT0297596". The record is from RNAcentral. Lineage: Eukaryota; Metazoa; Chordata; Mammalia; Primates; Hominidae.